Molecule: ribosomal RNA, 671 nt
Filed under: Salmonella enterica subsp. enterica serovar Agona
Lineage: Bacteria; Pseudomonadati; Pseudomonadota; Gammaproteobacteria; Enterobacterales; Enterobacteriaceae
Description: partial 23S ribosomal RNA
Rfam family: Bacterial large subunit ribosomal RNA
Source: RNAcentral
GCGAAUACCGGAGAAUGUUAUCACGGGAGACACACGGCGGGUGCUAACGUCCGUCGUGAAGAGGGAAACAACCCAGACCGCCAGCUAAGGUCCCAAAGUCAUGGUUAAGUGGGAAACGAUGUGGGAAGGCCCAGACAGCCAGGAUGUUGGCUUAGAAGCAGCCAUCAUUUAAAGAAAGCGUAAUAGCUCACUGGUCGAGUCGGCCUGCGCGGAAGAUGUAACGGGGCUAAACCAUGCACCGAAGCUGCGGCAGCGAACGUAUCACUUAAAGCGAUUCAGCGGGUUACGAUUGACGGAGCGAAGCGACGUCAAAGCGUAUACAAAGUCGAGUCGGUUUAAGGAUACGUUCGUUGGGUAGGGGAGCGUUCUGUAAGCCUGCGAAGGUGGCCUGUGAGGGUUGCUGGAGGUAUCAGAAGUGCGAAUGCUGACAUAAGUAACGAUAAAGCGGGUGAAAAGCCCGCUCGCCGGAAGACCAAGGGUUCCUGUCCAACGUUAAUCGGGGCAGGGUGAGUCGACCCCUAAGGCGAGGCCGAAAGGCGUAGUCGAUGGGAAACGGGUUAAUAUUCCCGUACUUGGUGUUACUGCGAAGGGGGGACGGAGAAGGCUAUGUUGGCCGGGCGACGGUUGUCCCGGUUUAAGCGUGUAGGUGUGUGUUCCAGGUAAAUCCGGUU